This is a non-coding RNA of Anas platyrhynchos (mallard), 379 nucleotides long. Lineage: Eukaryota; Metazoa; Chordata; Aves; Anseriformes; Anatidae. The record is from RefSeq and is a predicted model, not a curated record.
AUCCAUGUUGGAAUCAAAUUUAAAAAAAGAUGCAUACCAAUUUUAAACUUGGUCUUUAAACUGAACAGCUGGGAAAUUUUCUGUUUGGACUAUGUUAUCUGUCUAAUUGAACUGAUUUCUGAGCUCUGCAGAUUGUGGCAAAAGGUGCCCUACAGCAAGAUGGCAUUUCUAAUUGACUCAUCUGAACUGCAGCAUUACUCCUGUCUUUCUUCUGAUUGGGUAUGAUUCACUGGAGUGAUUAUCCAGUGGCCAAAUGCUGGCUUGAUGUUCCUCACAAUGUCAAACUUGUACCCAAUGGCACAGUUAUACCAAUGUCUGAACAGCAUAUCUGAAAGAAGCGAAAGGAGUAGAAGUUGGGAAAAUCACAGCUACCCUCAUC